This 253-nucleotide ribosomal RNA is filed under the name uncultured bacterium. RNAcentral describes it as "partial 16S ribosomal RNA". It matches the Rfam family "Bacterial small subunit ribosomal RNA", at positions 524 to 776 of the family's 1533-position model. The record is from RNAcentral.
UACAUGGGGUGCAAACGUUGCUCGGAAUUAUUGGGCCUAAAGCAUCCGUAGCCGGUUCUACAAGUCUUCCGUUAAAUCCACCUGCUUAACAGAUGGGCUGCGGAGGAUACUAUAGAGCUAGGAGGCGGGAGAGGCAAGCGGUACUUAGUGGGUAGGGGUAAAAUCCGUUGAUCCAUUGAAGACCACCAGUGGCGAAGGCGGCUUGCCAGAACGCACUCGACGGUGAGGGAUGAAAGCUGGGGGAGCAAACCGG